GUACACUCCUGCGGGAGGCAGCAGUGGUGAAUUUUGGACAAUGGGCGAAAGCCUGAUCCAGCAAUGCCGCGUGAGUGAAGAAGGCCUUCGGGUUGUAAAGCUCUUUUGUCAGGGAAGAAACGGUGAGAGCUAAUAUCUUUUGCUAAUGACGGUACCUGAAGAAUAAGCACCGGCUAACUACGUGCCAGCAGCCGCGGUAAUACGUAGGGUGCAAGCGUUAAUCGGAAUUACUGGGCGUAAAGCGUGCGCAGGCGGUUUUGUAAGUCUGAUGUGAAAUCCCCGGGCUCAACCUGGGAAUUGCAUUGGAGACUGCAAGGCUAGAAUCUGGCAGAGGGGGGUAGAAUUCCACGUGUAGCAGUGAAAUGCGUAGAUAUGUGGAGGAACACCGAUGGCGAAGGCAGCCCCCUGGGUCAAGAUUGACGCUCAUGCACGAAAGCGUGGGGAGCAAACAGGAUUAGAAACCCUGGUAGUCCCAU
RNAcentral lists this ribosomal RNA (476 nucleotides) under uncultured organism. RNAcentral's name for it is "partial 16S ribosomal RNA". It matches the Rfam family "Bacterial small subunit ribosomal RNA", at positions 331 to 798 of the family's 1533-position model. The record is from RNAcentral.